CGAAGUUGUCCUUCCCUCUGCGAAAGGAGUCGCUGCAGUCCUCCGCGCCUCCGCCGGGCAGCAGGAUCAUCAGCAGGAGGAGCAGAGGUCCUGCUGCUUCAUUAAAGCUCAAAGCGUCACCAAAGACAGUUUCCAUCUCGGACAUCAGCUCUUCGACCUGUAGCACUCUGGGAGGCCACACAAGAACAGACAGACUAAGAGACAGCUUCUACCCCAAGGGUGUCUCAGCCCUGAAUGUGGACAGAAAUCAGCACUUAUGUUGUUUGUUGCAUUCUUUAGCACAAGCUAUUUGCUGCUAAAUUUUGUUGUUCUUAAAACUAUUCUAUUCAAUUCUAUUUUAUUCUAUUCUUUCUUUGCCCAUUUGUAAAUUGUCAAAGUAGUGAUUACAAACCGGGGUUUUGUGUGUUUCUUUGGGUACUUGUGUACAUUUAAGACAGUGGGUGAUAUUAGAACAUUUGACAAACUAAUUUUUGUUUUGUUUUAUGUGUCUGUUGUAUUUUGGUUCAUUUUUAUGAAAGAGUCAGCCGUUGUAGCUCCACUAAAAGACAUAAUAUGUAUAUAUUUGACAAGUGCCAGUUAUUCUGGACUCAGAUGAAGGUUCAUCGAUGGUAACAAGAAAACAACAUUGCGUUCAGUGAAAACCACAAUACUGUGUAUUGGCUUUUCAACAGAUCCUCUUUGUAUUCAAUGUGUUUGCAAGAAAUACAUUUAAAAAAUCAUAAAAUUGAUACAUGUGCAGGACCCAAAAGUUUGCAGGCUAAUUGUUAUAAAAAGAGGCAUUUUAAAUAGCAGGAAAAAAGACUGAGUUUGAAAGACAAAAACACAACUUUAACACUAUUACAAAAACUGGGACUUUCUUUCGGAAUUUAGCUUGUUACAAUUUAACUACAGUUGCCUUACAUUUGUUUUGAGCCGUUUUGUCAACACAUUGUGUGAAUGAAUGUGAUAAAACUUAAUAGAGAACAUAAGAAAAAAGGAUACCACUGAUCAUAAAAUUACCAGCAGAUUUAAAUAUAAAACUUUAUUGUUUCGUUAAAAAGUGGAAUUCAUAGCAACCCUGAUUUUAACAAGACUCUGACUGUCAGCAGAUUUUGUCUUUAUCCUCUUCGUUUGAGAAAAACAUUAAAAGAUGACAUUA
Molecule: non-coding RNA, 1138 nt
Organism: Oryzias latipes (Japanese medaka)
Lineage: Eukaryota; Metazoa; Chordata; Actinopteri; Beloniformes; Adrianichthyidae
Source: RefSeq, a predicted model, not a curated record